Molecule: ribosomal RNA, 436 nt
Filed under: uncultured bacterium
Lineage: Bacteria
Description: bacterial SSU rRNA
Rfam family: Bacterial small subunit ribosomal RNA
Source: RNAcentral
AACGAACGCUGGCGGCAGGCCUAACACAUGCAAGUCGUGCGCGCCUUCGGGUGAGCGGCGGACGGGUGAGUAACGCGUGGGAAUAUGCCCUUCUGUUGAGGAUAGCCCCGGGAAACUGGGAGUAAUACUCGAUACGCCCUUUGGGGGAAGGAAGGAUUAGCCCGCGUCUGAUUAGGUAGUUGGUGGGGUAAUGGCCUACCAAGCCUACGAUCAGUAGCUGGUUUUAGAGGAUGAUCAGCCACACUGGGACUGAGACACGGCCCAGACUCCUACGGGAGGCAGCAGUGAGGAAUCUUAGACAAUGGGCGCAAGCCUGAUCUAGCCAUGCCGCGUGUGUGAUGAAGGCCUUAGGGUCGUAAAGCACUUUCGCCAGAGAUGAUAAUGACAGUAUCUGGUAAAGAAACCCCGGCUAACUCCGUGCCAGCAGCCGCGGUAA